This 632-nucleotide ribosomal RNA is filed under the name uncultured bacterium. RNAcentral describes it as "bacterial SSU rRNA". It matches the Rfam family "Bacterial small subunit ribosomal RNA", at positions 138 to 749 of the family's 1533-position model. The record is from RNAcentral.
CUGGAAUAAUACGCCGAAAGGGGUACUAAUACCGGAUACUCUUGCUUUAUAUAAGUUUUGCAAGCAAAGGUGGCCUCUGACAUAAGCUACUGCAUGAAGAGGGGUCUGCGUACCAUUAGCUUGUAGGUGGGGUAAUGGCCUACCUAGGCAACGAUGGUUAGCGGGUCUGAGAGGAUGAUCCGCCACACUGGCACUGGAACACGGGCCAGACUCCUACGGGAGGCAGCAGUGAGGAAUAUUGCGCAAUGGGGGCAACCCUGACGCAGCGACGCCGCGUGAGUGAGGAAGGCCUUCGGGUCGUAAAGCUCUGUCAAAGGGAAAGAAAUGUAUAAUGGCUAAUACCUGUUAUAUUUGACGGUACCCUUAAAGGAAGCACCGGCUAACUCCGUGCCAGCAGCCGCGGUAAUACGGAGGGUGCAAGCGUUGUUCGGAAUUACUGGGCGUAAAGGGCGCGUAGGCGGUUUGAUAAGUCAGAUGUGAAAGCCCACGGCUUAACUGUGGAAGUGCAUUUGAUACUGUCAGACUUGAGUACCAGAGGGGAAAGUGGAAUUCCCGGUGUAGAGGUGAAAUUCGUAGAUAUCGGGAGGAAUACCGGUGGCGAAGGCGACUUUCUGGCUGGAUACUGACGCUGA